Molecule: ribosomal RNA, 500 nt
Filed under: uncultured bacterium
Lineage: Bacteria
Description: bacterial SSU rRNA
Rfam family: Bacterial small subunit ribosomal RNA
Source: RNAcentral
AACGAACGCUGGCGGCAUGCCUAACACAUGCAAGUCGAACGGCAGCACGGGGGCAACCCUGGUGGCGAGUGGCGAACGGGUGAGUAACAUAUCGGAACAUACCCUAGAGUGGGGGAUAACGUAGCGAAAGUUACGCUAAUACCGCAUACGAUCUAAGGAUGAAAGUGGGGGAUCUUCGGACCUCAUGCUCAUGGAGUGGCCGAUAUCUGAUUAGCUAGUUGGUGAGGUAAAGGCUCACCAAGGCGACGAUCAGUAGCUGGUUUGAGAGAACGACCAGCCACACUGGAACUGAGACACGGUCCAGACUCCUACGGGAGGCAGCAGUGGGGAAUUUUGGACAAUGGGGGCAACCCUGAUCCAGCAAUGCCGCGUGAGUGAAGAAGGCUUUCGGGUCGUAAAGCUCUGUCAGUGGGGAAGAAAUGGGAUUGGCUAUAUCCAAUUUCCUUGACGGUACCCACAAAGGAAGCACCGGCUAACUCCGUGCCAGCAGCCGCGGUAAU